This 409-nucleotide unclassified non-coding RNA is filed under the name uncultured Auriculariales. Its description in RNAcentral is "sequence contains ITS2". The stretch from base 1 to 154 matches the Rfam family "5.8S ribosomal RNA". The record is from RNAcentral. Lineage: Eukaryota; Fungi; Basidiomycota; Agaricomycetes; Auriculariales.
AACUUUCAGCAACGGAUCACUUGGCUCUCGCCUCGAUGAAGAACCCAGCGAAAUGCGAUAAGUAAUGUGAAUUGCAGAAUUCAGUGAAUCAUCGAAUCUUUGAACGCACCUUGCGCUCCUUGGUUUUCCAUGGAGCAUGCCUGUUUGAGUGUCACGUUAACCCUCACCAUCGUGAUGUAAAAGUCAUGAACGGUGGACUUGGAUUCUGCCGUAAUUGGCUAAUCCUGAAAUGCAUUAGCUUGCGCCUUUUAGAGUGCUUGGCAUGGUGUGAUAAUUAUCUGCACCGUCGCCUAAGGCCUCUUCUGUGAGUGCUGCUUAUAACCGUCCCUUGUGGACAACAUAAUAAAGCUUUGGCCUCAAAUCAGGUAGGACUACCCGCUGAACUUAAGCAUAUCAAUAAGCGGAGGCU